UGUCUUUUUGAUUAUAAUUUAAAGUCUAAUCUGCCCACUGAGUUAUUGAAUGGCCGCGGUAUUUUGACCGUGCAAAGGUAGCAUAAUAAUUAGUUUUUUAAUUGAAAGCUGGAAUGAAUGAUUGGAUGAGAAAAUUACUGUCUCAAAUUAAUUUAAUUAGAAUUUUAUAUUUAAGUUAAAAAGCUUAAAUUUUAUUAAAAGACGAGAAGACCCUAUAGAGUUUAAUAAAUAAUUAUUAUUUAAAUUUGUAGUUUUUAUUAUUUGAAUUUUUAAUAUUUAUUUUGUUGGGGUGAUAGAAAAAUUAGAUAAACUUUUUUUAUAUAUUAACAUUAAUUUAUGAAUUUUUGAUCCAUUAUUAUUGAUUAAAAGAUAAAAUUACCUUAGGGAUAACAGCGUAAUUUUUUUUGAGAGUUCUUAUCGAAAAAAAAGAUUGCGACCUCGAUGUUGGAUUAAAGUAUAAUUUUGGUGUAGAAGCUAAAAAAUUAGGUCUGUUCGACCUUUAAAACUUU
This 509-nucleotide ribosomal RNA is filed under the name Chariessa pilosa. RNAcentral's name for it is "partial 16S ribosomal RNA". The stretch from base 386 to 509 matches the Rfam family "Bacterial large subunit ribosomal RNA", at positions 2473 to 2597 of the family's 2925-position model. The record is from RNAcentral. Lineage: Eukaryota; Metazoa; Arthropoda; Insecta; Coleoptera; Cleridae.